Molecule: ribosomal RNA, 186 nt
Filed under: uncultured Bacteroidota bacterium
Lineage: Bacteria; Pseudomonadati; Bacteroidota
Description: uncultured Bacteroidetes bacterium partial 16S ribosomal RNA
Rfam family: Bacterial small subunit ribosomal RNA
Source: RNAcentral
GCAACCUACCUAUCACUGGGGGAUAGCCCGGGGAAACCCGGAUUAAUACCGCAUAAUACAGGGGGCCCACAUGGGUCUAUUUGUUAAAGAUUUAUCGGUGGUAGAUGGGCAUGCGUUCGAUUAGCUAGUUGGCAGGGUAACGGCCUACCAAGGCGACGAUCGAUAGGGGAGCUGAGAGGUUGACCC